Molecule: long non-coding RNA, 685 nt
Organism: Lactuca sativa (garden lettuce)
Lineage: Eukaryota; Viridiplantae; Streptophyta; Magnoliopsida; Asterales; Asteraceae
Source: RefSeq, a predicted model, not a curated record
GAUAACCUAAUGUCAAGCCCUUUCCCUUCCCCCGUUCUCUCUCUAUCUCAUCAUCUCACCUCUCUCCUACCUUCAUCCCACCUCCAACCAUUAACACUCGCCAAUGUCCAGCUCAUCGAUGAUGAAUCGAAGAAACAACAAACCGACAGUGUGAUUUGGAUUUACAGAUCGAUUAUAUUCCUUUCAUGUCGUCUCAAUCGUCUAAUCCCUUAAGAAUUGAAGAAGAAGAAGCUUCGGAAAAUUUCUCCAUCGUCUUCUCACAAUGCUUUCGUCAUUAAUGCUAUUUUGUUUCUGUUAUCGUCAACUGGUUGAUAUGAUUGUUGUUAUAGAUGGAAGGAGAAUAAUGGGUCUUGGUGAUCUAGGAGUUCAGGGUAUUGGAAUUGCAAUUGGGAAGUUGGAUUUAUAUGUUGCUGCAGCUGGAAUAAAUCCUCAGAGAGUUCUUCCUAUCAUGAUUAAUGUUGGAACCAACAAUUAAAACCUUCUAGAAAAUCCCUUGUAUUUUGAAGAAUUUUUGGAAAAUAUUGAAGAGGUGAAAAGUGAUAAAUUGAAGAAAAUAUGGAAAUGUUGAUAUGAAGAAAUGAUAACACUGUGAAUCUUUGAAUUUUUUUUUAUAUUUUAUUUUGUAUCGAAUAAAAUAAUUGUAUUAUGUUUAUAGAUUGAUUAAUAAAAAUGAGAUUUUUUAUAA